AAAAAAAGUAGCGAAGUGUGUGAGCCAUGUGCCGAGAAAAGCCGCUAUUGUUUUAUAUGUGCCCGUACCGUAAACCGACACAGGUGGAUGAGGAGAGAAUCCUAAGGCCGACGGAAGAAGCAUUGUUAAGGAACUCGGCAAAAUGACCCCGUAACUUCGGGAGAAGGGGUGCCCACUUCAGGGUGGGCCGCAGAGAAUAGGCUCAAGCAACUGUUUAGCAAAAACACAGGUCUAUGCGAAACCGUAAGGUGAAGUAUAUGGGCUGACGCCUGCCCGGUGCUGGAAGGUUAAGAGGAGAGGUUAGUCGCAAGAUGAAGCUUUGAAUUUAAGCCCCAGUAAACGGCGGCCGUAACUAUAACGGUCCUAAGGUAGCGAAAUUCCUUGUCGGGUAAGUUCCGACCCGCACGAAAGGCGUAAUGAUUUGAGCACUGUCUCGACAAUGCAUCCGGUGAAAUUGAAGUACCAGUGAAGAUGCUGGUUACCCGCGCCAGGACGGAAAGACCCCAUGGAGCUUUACUCCAGUUUGGUACUGGGAUUCGGUACUGCAUGUACAGGAUAGGUGGGAGACUGAGAAAUUGGAACGCCAGUUUCAAUGGAGUCACUGUUGGGAUACCACCCCUGCAGUAUUGGGUUUCUAACCAGCCGCUGUGAUCCAGCGGUGGGACAAUGCCAGGCGGGGAGUUUGACUGGGGCGGUCGCCUCCGAAAGGGUAUCGGAGGCGCUCAAAGGUUCCCUCAGAAUGGUCGGAAACCAUUUUAAGAGUGCAAAGGCAGAAGGGAGCUUGACUGCGACACCGACGGGUGGAGCAGGUACGAAAGUAGGACUUAGUGAUCCGGUGGCAUAAAGUGGGAUUGCCAUCGCUCAACGGAUAAAAGCUACCCUGGGAUAACAGGCUUAUCACUCCCAAGAGUUCACAUCGACGGAGUGGUUUGGCACCUCGAUGUCGGCUCAUCGCAUCCUGGGGCUGUAGCAGGUCCCAAGGGUUGGGCUGUUCGCCCAUUAAAGCGGUACGCGAGCUGGGUUCAGAACGUCGUGAGACAGUUCGGUCCCUAUCCGGCGCGGGCGGAGGAUAUUUGAGAGGAGCUGUCCUUAGUACGAGAGGACCGGGAUGGACGGACCACUGGUGUAUCUGCUGUCGACCAACGGCAUGGCAGAGUAGCCAAGUCCGGAAGGGAUAAACGCUGAAGGCAUCUAAGCGUGAAGCCCCCCUCAAGAUGAGAUAUCCCUCACAUAAGUGAGUAAGAUCCCUUGAAGAGUACAAGGUAGAUAGGGCAGAGGUGGAAGCACGGUAACGUGUGGAGCUGACUGUUACUAAUCGAUCGAGGGCUUGACCG
RNAcentral lists this ribosomal RNA (1334 nucleotides) under metagenome. RNAcentral's name for it is "bacterial LSU rRNA". It matches the Rfam family "Bacterial large subunit ribosomal RNA", at positions 1575 to 2925 of the family's 2925-position model. The record is from RNAcentral.